UACAGAGACUGCAAGCGUUAUUCGGAUUCACUGGGCGUAAAGGGUGCGCAGGCGGUUGGGUGUGUCAGAUGUGAAAUCCCGAGGCUCAACCUCGGAACUGCGUCUGAAACUACUCGACUAGAGUACUGGAGAGGGUAACGGAAUUCACGGUGUAGCAGUGAAAUGCGUAGAUAUCGUGAGGAACGCCAGAGGCGAAGGCGGUUACCUGGACAGUUACUGACGCUCAGGCACGAAAGCAUGGGGAGCAAAAGGG
RNAcentral lists this ribosomal RNA (253 nucleotides) under uncultured bacterium. Its description in RNAcentral is "partial 16S ribosomal RNA". It matches the Rfam family "Bacterial small subunit ribosomal RNA", at positions 524 to 776 of the family's 1533-position model. The record is from RNAcentral.